CAAAAUGUUUGAAUUCAGUGUGUAGCAUAAUACUGUCUCUCCAUACAUGCUGUAUGUAAAUACAGUAUUAUUGGUUGGUUGUUUUUGCAACUGG
Molecule: small RNA, 94 nt
Filed under: Vibrio cholerae O1 biovar El Tor str. N16961
Lineage: Bacteria; Pseudomonadati; Pseudomonadota; Gammaproteobacteria; Vibrionales; Vibrionaceae
Source: RNAcentral